GCGGCGGCCUCGGAUGACGGGGAACUGCGAACCUGGUCAGGCCCUGACGGGAGCAGCCAUAAGCAGAUCCUCCCCGGGUGUUCGGGGUCGCCCCUCG
Molecule: signal recognition particle RNA, 97 nt
Filed under: Planctomycetota bacterium
Lineage: Bacteria; Pseudomonadati; Planctomycetota
Description: signal recognition particle sRNA small type
Rfam family: Bacterial small signal recognition particle RNA
About the family: The signal recognition particle (SRP) is a universally conserved ribonucleoprotein involved in the co-translational targeting of proteins to membranes. Archaeal SRP consists of a 7S RNA and homologues of the eukaryotic SRP19 and SRP54 proteins. In most bacteria, the SRP consists of a 4.5S RNA and the Ffh protein (a homologue of the eukaryotic SRP54 protein).
Source: RNAcentral